CUGACGGUAUCGAAUGUGAACCGUACGGCCUUUGAAUUAAUUGAACAAUUUAUUGAAAGAACUGCUUUGAUCCGAUUUGGACAAGGACAGAUUG
Molecule: regulatory RNA element, 94 nt
Rfam family: pan motif
Source: Rfam